Molecule: non-coding RNA, 1352 nt
Organism: Pelobates cultripes (western spadefoot toad)
Lineage: Eukaryota; Metazoa; Chordata; Amphibia; Anura; Pelobatidae
Source: the annotation of a GenBank genome assembly
GGACAAGCUCUAUGGCACCAACAUGCGUAAGAAAGGGGCGGAUGCAGGCUAUGUUUUUAAGAUGGAAUCUAUAGGAUUUGGUAACAUGUUGGAUGUGAAGCUAUAAGGUGAGGCUAGAAUCAAAUAUGACACCAAGACAGCGCGCUUGCAAGGAUGGACUGAUGUGGAUACCACUGACUUGAAGGGAGAGCAAAAGAACAGGAUCAGUAUUAGGAGGAUGAAAGACAAGGAGUUCAGUUUUAGAGAGAUUGAGUUUUAGAAAGCGGGAGGACAUCCAGUCAGAGAUGGAAGAAAGGCAAGCAGUGACACGUUGCAGGACAGCAGGGGAGAGCUCUGGGGAGGAGAGAUAUAGCUGGGUGUCAGCAACGUACAGGUGGUAGUGGAAUCCAAAUGAGGUAAUAAGUUUGCCAAGAGAGGCAGUAUAAAGAGAAAAUUGAAGGGGACCAAGGAGACAGCCUUGGGGGACUCCAACAGAGACAGGAUAUUCAUUAGAGGAGGUAUCAUUAGAAAAGGAGACUCUGAAUGAGCAUUGGGAGAGAAAGGAGGAAAUCCAAGAGAGGACAGUGUCACAUAGACCGAGUGAUUGAAGAGUUUGAAGAAGGAGAGCAUGAUCAACAGUGUGUCAAAGGCAGCAGAGAGGUCAAGAAGUAUUAGUAUGGAAUAGUAGCCUUUGGAGUUAGCUGUGAUUAGGUCAUUAGUAACUUUGAUAAGAGCAGUCUCAGUAGAGUGGAGGGGGCGGAAGCCAGAUUGAAGAGGGUUAAUGAGAGAGUUGGAAUUAAGGAAGUGAGACAUUCGAGUAAAGACAAGUCUUUCCUGAAGCUUUGAGGAAAAAGGGAGCAGGGAUAAGGGACGAUAGCUAGAGGGGGUGGAUGGCUUGAGGGAGGUUUUUUCAGGAUAGGUACUACAGUAGCAUGUUUAAGGUUAGCAGGGACAACGCCAGAAGAGAGAGAGCAGUUGAAGAUGUGUGUUAAGGAAGGCACAAGACAAGGGGAGAGAGAUCUGAUAAGGUCAGAUGGGACAGGAUCAAGUGGGCAAGUGGUGGGGCGAGAGGAAAGGUGAAGCACAGCCAACUCUUGUUCAGUAGCCAGAUAGAAAGUAUGAAAGGUAGGAAAGGCAUGAUCUACAUGUGGACGAGAAAGAGAAAGAGAAAGGCAGGGUGGGGAGAUUAUUUCCUUAGCUGUGCAAUCUUGUCGGUAAAGUAGUAUGCAAAGCUCUCGGCUGUAAGGUUAGUUUGAGGGGUGGCCACAGCAAGGCGAAUAAGAGAGUUAAAGGUGUCAAAGAGUUACAAAUGGACACAGGCCCUGUCAUCACAACAGUGGCGGAAAAUAGAAGCCUCGUUUUUCGUAGCCUCC